AUCGCUUCUCGGCCUUUUGGCUAAGAUCAAAGUGUAGUAUCUGUUUCUUAUCAGCUUAAUAUCUGAUACGGGGUUCAAAUGGACCCCAGAAUAUUAAACUGAUUUUUGGCAUACGGUGGGGAAUACAGUGCUUGCACUGCUCCCGCCACGGGUUUGACCCGGUAUUGCAGUACCUCCGGGAUCGGCUCACCCUCU
RNAcentral lists this small nuclear RNA (195 nucleotides) under Daphnia pulicaria. RNAcentral describes it as "U2 spliceosomal RNA". It matches the Rfam family "U2 spliceosomal RNA". Rfam says of the family: U2 is a small nuclear RNA (snRNA) component of the spliceosome (involved in pre-mRNA splicing). Complementary binding between U2 snRNA (in an area lying towards the 5' end but 3' to hairpin I) and the branchpoint sequence (BPS) of the intron results the bulging out of an unpaired adenosine, on the BPS, which initiates a nucleophilic attack at the intronic 5' splice site, thus starting the first of two transesterification reactions that mediate splicing. Lineage: Eukaryota; Metazoa; Arthropoda; Branchiopoda; Diplostraca; Daphniidae. The record is from RNAcentral.